This 586-nucleotide ribosomal RNA is filed under the name uncultured bacterium. Its description in RNAcentral is "partial 16S ribosomal RNA". It matches the Rfam family "Bacterial small subunit ribosomal RNA", at positions 355 to 1375 of the family's 1533-position model. The record is from RNAcentral.
UGGGGAAUUUUGGACAAUGGGCGAAAGCCUGAUCCAGCAAUGCCGCGUGUGUGAAGAAGGCCUUCGGGUUGUAAAGCACUUUUGUCCGGAAAGAAAUCCUUGGCUCUAAUACAGUCGGGGGAUGACGGUACCGGAAGAAUAAGCACCGGCUAACUACGUGCCAGCAGCCGCGGUAAUACGUAGGGUGCAAGCGUUAAUCGGAAUUACUGGGCGUAAAGCGUGCGCAGGCGGUUUGCUAAGACCGAUGUGAAAUCCCCGGGCUCAACCUGGGAACUGCAUUGGUGACUGGCAGGCUAGAGUAUGGCAGAGGGGGGUAGAAUUCCACGUGUAGCAGUGAAAUGCGUAGAGAUGUGGAGGAAUACCGAUGGCGAAGGCAGCCCCCUGGGCCAAUACUGACGCUCAUGCACGAAAGCGUGGGGAGCAAACAGGAUUAGAUACCCUGGUAGUCCACGCCCUAAACGAUGUCAACUAGUUGUUGGGGGAUUCAUUUCCUUAGUAACGUAGCUAACGCGUGAAGUUGACCGCCUGGGGAGUACGGUCGCAAGAUUAAAACUUAAAUGAAUUGACGGGGUCAUAGCUGUUUCCU